Molecule: ribosomal RNA, 271 nt
Filed under: uncultured bacterium
Lineage: Bacteria
Description: partial 16S ribosomal RNA
Rfam family: Bacterial small subunit ribosomal RNA
Source: RNAcentral
UACGUAGGGUCCGAACGUUGUCCGGAAUUAUUGGGCGUAAAGGGCUCGUAGGCGGUUUGUCACGUCGGAAGUGAAAACUCAGGGCUCAACCCUGAGCGUGCUUACGAUACGGGCAAACUAGAGGUAUGCAGGGGAGAACGGAAUUCCUGGUGUAGCGGUGGAAUGCGCAGAUAUCAGGAGGAACACCGGUGGCGAAGGCGGUUCUCUGGGCAUUACCUGACGCUGAGGAGCGAAAGCAUGGGGAGCGAACAGGAUUAGAAACCCUAGUAGU